Molecule: ribosomal RNA, 492 nt
Filed under: uncultured bacterium
Lineage: Bacteria
Description: partial 16S ribosomal RNA
Rfam family: Bacterial small subunit ribosomal RNA
Source: RNAcentral
AGUGAACGCUGGCGGUAGGCCUAACACAUGCAAGUCGAACGGCAGCACAGUAAGAGCUUGCUCUUACGGGUGGCGAGUGGCGGACGGGUGAGGAAUACAUCGGAAUCUACUUUUUCGUGGGGGAUAACGUAGGGAAACUUACGCUAAUACCGCAUACGACCUACGGGUGAAAGCAGGGGAUCUUCGGACCUUGCGCGAUUGAAUGAGCCGAUGUCGGAUUAGCUAGUUGGCGGGGUAAAGGCCCACCAAGGCGACGAUCCGUAGCUGGUCUGAGAGGAUGAUCAGCCAAACUGGAACUGAGACACGGUCCAGACUCCUACGGGAGGCAGCAGUGGGGAAUAUUGGACAAUGGGCGCAAGCCUGAUCCAGCCAUACCGCGUGGGUGAAGAAGGCCUUCGGGUUGUAAAGCCCUUUUGUUGGGAAAGAAAAGCAGCGGGUUAAUACCCCGCUGUUCUGACGGUACCCAAAGAAUAAGCACCGGCUAACUUCGUG